GGCAUUCAUAGGGCUGUGAUCGG
This 23-nucleotide microRNA is filed under the name Gallus gallus (chicken). RNAcentral's name for it is "gga-miR-7457-5p". The record is from miRBase by way of RNAcentral. Lineage: Eukaryota; Metazoa; Chordata; Aves; Galliformes; Phasianidae.